This 468-nucleotide ribosomal RNA is filed under the name uncultured bacterium. RNAcentral's name for it is "partial 16S ribosomal RNA". It matches the Rfam family "Bacterial small subunit ribosomal RNA", at positions 28 to 507 of the family's 1533-position model. The record is from RNAcentral.
GACGAACGCUGGCGGCGUGCUUAACACAUGCAAGUCGAACGGCAAGGCCCUGCUUUUGUGGGGUGCUCGAGUGGCGAACGGGUGAGUAACACGUGAGUAACCUGCCCUAGACUUUGGGAUAACUUCAGGUAACUGGGGCUAAUACCGGAUAGGAGCUCCUGCUGCAUGGUGGGGGUUGGAACGUUUCGGCGGUUGGGGAUGGACUCGCGGCUUAUCAGCUUGUUGGUGGGGUAGUGGCUUACCAAGGCAUUGACGGGUAGCCGGCCUGAGAGGGUGACCGGCGACAUUGGGCCUGCGAGACGGACCAGACUGCAACGGGAGGCAGCAGUGGGGAAUAUUGCACAAUGGGCGGAAGCCUGAGGCGGCAACGCCGCGUGCGGGAUGACGGCCUUCGGGUUGUAAAACGCUUUCGCCUGUGACGAAGCGUGAGUGACGGUAAUGGGUAAAGAAGCACCGGCUAACUACGUG